RNAcentral lists this ribosomal RNA (255 nucleotides) under uncultured bacterium. Its description in RNAcentral is "partial 16S ribosomal RNA". It matches the Rfam family "Bacterial small subunit ribosomal RNA", at positions 524 to 776 of the family's 1533-position model. The record is from RNAcentral.
UACGAAGGGGGCUAGCGUUGUUCGGAAUUACUGGGCGUAAAGCGCGCGCAGGCGGUCUUCCAAGUCAGUGGUGAAAGCCCGGAGCUCAACUCCGGAACUGCCAUUGAAACUGUGAGACUUGAGGAUGAGAGAGGUGAGUGGAAUUCCCAGUGUAGAGGUGAAAUUCGUAGAUAUUGGGAAGAACACCGGUGGCGAAGGCGGCUCACUGGGCUCAGUUUCUGACGCUCAGGCGCGACAGCGUGGGGAUCAAACAGG